This 1348-nucleotide ribosomal RNA is filed under the name Salegentibacter mishustinae. Its description in RNAcentral is "bacterial SSU rRNA". It matches the Rfam family "Bacterial small subunit ribosomal RNA", at positions 184 to 1533 of the family's 1533-position model. Lineage: Bacteria; Pseudomonadati; Bacteroidota; Flavobacteriia; Flavobacteriales; Flavobacteriaceae. The record is from RNAcentral.
CUUCUCCUGAAGUUUAUAUUAAACAUUUAUGGCUAUUAGAUGGGUAUGCGUCCUAUUAGUUAGUUGGUAAGGUAACGGCUUACCAAGGCAGCGAUAGGUAGGGGUCCUGAGAGGGAGAUCCCCCACACUGGUACUGAGACACGGACCAGACUCCUACGGGAGGCAGCAGUGAGGAAUAUUGGACAAUGGGCGAGAGCCUGAUCCAGCCAUGCCGCGUGCAGGAAGACUGCCCUAUGGGUUGUAAACUGCUUUUACAGAGGAAGAACCACCCCCACGUGUGGGGGUUUGACGGUACUCUGCGAAUAAGGAUCGGCUAACUCCGUGCCAGCAGCCGCGGUAAUACGGAGGAUCCAAGCGUUAUCCGGAAUCAUUGGGUUUAAAGGGUCCGUAGGCGGGCAGUUAAGUCAGUGGUGAAAGUCUUCCGCUCAACGGGAGAACUGCCAUUGAUACUGAUUGUCUUGAGUUAUUAUGAAGUGGUUAGAAUGAGUAGUGUAGCGGUGAAAUGCAUAGAUAUUACUCAGAAUACCGAUUGCGAAGGCAGAUCACUAAUAAUAUACUGACGCUGAUGGACGAAAGCGUAGGUAGCGAACAGGAUUAGAUACCCUGGUAGUCUACGCCGUAAACGAUGGUUACUAGCUGUUCGGCCCAAUUGAGGGCUGAGUGGUUAAGCGAAAGUGAUAAGUAACCCACCUGGGGAGUACGUUCGCAAGAAUGAAACUCAAAGGAAUUGACGGGGGCCCGCACAAGCGGUGGAGCAUGUGGUUUAAUUCGAUGAUACGCGAGGAACCUUACCAGGGCUUAAAUGUAGUCUGACAGGUCUGGAAACAGACUUUUCUUCGGACAGAUUACAAGGUGCUGCAUGGUUGUCGUCAGCUCGUGCCGUGAGGUGUCAGGUUAAGUCCUAUAACGAGCGCAACCCCUGUGGUUAGUUGCCAGCGAGUAAUGUCGGGAACUCUAGCCAGACUGCCGGUGCAAACCGCGAGGAAGGUGGGGAUGACGUCAAAUCAUCACGGCCCUUACGUCCUGGGCCACACACGUGCUACAAUGGUAGGGACAGAGAGCAGCCACUUCGCGAGAAGGAGCGAAUCUACAAACCCUAUCACAGUUCGGAUCGCAGUCUGCAACUCGACUGCGUGAAGCUGGAAUCGCUAGUAAUCGCAUAUCAGCCAUGAUGCGGUGAAUACGUUCCCGGGCCUUGUACACACCGCCCGUCAAGCCAUGGAAGCCGGGGGUACCUGAAGUCGGUCACCGCAAGGAGCCGCCUAGGGUAAAACUGGUAACUGGGGCUAAGUCGUAACAAGGUAGCCGUACCGGAAGGUGCGGCUGGAACACCUCCUUUCUAGAGCAA